Long non-coding RNA from Engraulis encrasicolus (European anchovy), 1594 nucleotides. RefSeq lists it as uncharacterized. NCBI's taxonomy places the organism in Eukaryota, Metazoa, Chordata, Actinopteri, Clupeiformes, Engraulidae. The record is from RefSeq and is a predicted model, not a curated record. The transcript has 5 exons.
UUAAAGGUGGGAUAGGAGAUGUUUUUCUGGCACAUAUUUUACCAUAUCAUCUGAAAAACUCCUCAUGACGCCAUAGCACCCAUUGAAAUAGAGUGUUUGGAAAAAAAACGAAAUCUUUUGGUCCAGUGUAGAGGGCGUAGUCAGAAGAAAACGGCAACCAAUAGAAGUAAUACUCAUCAUCACUUCUAUUGGUUUCUGACACGUCCAUCAACCGCCAGCACUCACCCCUCCUCCCUGCGCGUUCACCGACUCGUGAACUUGACCGACCCCGCCCCCAUCAUUCAUGCACACGCGACAAGGCUCAUCAUCACUCGGCUAGUAGCAAGGUAACGAGAGUUAGCAGCAGGCUGAGCUACUUGGACACUUUGGUGGCUUUUGCAGAGCUACAGGAAGAACUUUGGCUUUUGGAACACUAGACUAACCAUGUCAGGUUAACAUACUCCCUUGGAUUAUCAUCGGACUCGCAGCAGACUCCAACACGGGCUGAAAAUUUGAAAUGGGACCUGACACUCUUGGACACAGAUGUCGGCUACGGCAGCGGCUUCAAAUACGCUUUGGUGACCAUAUUUCUAAUCGAGAGUUGUGCGAACGAGCCAGACAAACCAGCUGGGAGGAGGACGGAAGCACCCCUUCUCCAUCCGCGUUCAGUUGCUAAAUACGGAUCCACCCCGUAGUAAGUAACCUACCAUGUUUACGCACACAUUACUUUGACCAGCAAAGCCCAUGUCUUUCUAGUGGUUUACAAAAAUAUAUCGUUUGCAUGUUUUGCUUUGGUACGUCUCUGUUGUAUGACUCUGGUAAUAGUUGCAAGCACAAGCACAACCUGUUCGCCGCUCCAGCAUUGCAAAAUAGAUUGCCUUGGGUUUUCAAAUGUUUACAUGAUUGUGGGUGUAAUGUUGUUAACUCGCUGAUGUCGUUUUUGAGAAGACGGUAGUUUUGCAUUUGAUAAAUACCACCUAAUGACAAUGACGGCUACACGGCAGAUCUUUAUUGUGAUGGCUACACUGAAUGAUCACAUGGAGAUGCCGGUACAUUAUUUGUUUUACCCUGGUUAUAUUGAAAUGUUCUGCUUUGUCCAUUCCAAGGUGUGGUGUUUUCCAUAGCUGUUCCUUGCUCCUGUUUCACAACAUAUCAAGGCUGCCAAGUAAAUGAAGAAUGAAUCACCGCACACUGGUCAACAGCCGACAGGGUCCUUCCACAACCACAUACUUAUGCCAGUAAAAGCCACAGCUUUUCUCCUCCAAUCCAAGAAGCCUGGACUGCAGUCACCAUCUCAACACACCAACCAAGAGAAAGGCGGAUGGCUCAAUUCAAUAUGGAAAAUUGCACAAUAAAAGUUCCAGGACAUGAAGGCUGCAUACUGUGAACGUCAACCUUCAGGGCACCGUCCUGCGCAGAAGACUUUCUACCCUAAGAGGGAUGGCUGACCGCAGACACUCACAACCAGCACAGACGCCUCCAACCUCAAACUAGGCCCUUCACAGUUGCUGCACUUACCCACCUUCCCAGAGUUUUUGUGUGGUAAUGACAACUGUAAAUAUAGUAUAAAGUAAUGUAUCUAGUGUCAUGUGUAAUACAUUGUUUAAAUUGUCCA